RNAcentral lists this ribosomal RNA (549 nucleotides) under uncultured Glomeromycotina. Its description in RNAcentral is "SSU rRNA". It matches the Rfam family "Eukaryotic small subunit ribosomal RNA", at positions 548 to 1098 of the family's 1831-position model. The record is from RNAcentral. Lineage: Eukaryota; Fungi; Glomeromycota.
UUGGAGGGCAAGUCUGGUGCCAGCAGCCGCGGUAAUUCCAGCUCCAAUAGCGUAUAUUAAAGUUGUUGCAGUUAAAAAGCUCGUAGUUGAAUUUCGGGGUUAGUAGGUUGGUCAUGCCUCUGGUAUGUACUGGUCUCACUGAUUCCUCCUUCCUGAUGAGCCGUAAUGCCAUUAAUUUGGUGUUGCGGGGAAUUUGGACUGUUACUUUGAAAAAAUUAGAGUGUUUAAAGCAAGCUAACGCUUGAAUACAUUAGCAUGGAAUAAUGAAAUAGGACGUUCGAUCCUAUUUUGUUGGUUUCUAGGAUUGACGUAAUGAUUAAUAGGGAUAGUUGGGGGCAUUAGUAUUCAAUUGUCAGAGGUGAAAUUCUUGGAUUUAUUGAAGACUAACUACUGCGAAAGCAUUUGCCGAGGAUGUUUUCAUUAAUCAAGAACGAAAGUUAGGGGAUCGAAGACGAUCAGAUACCGUCGUAGUCUUAACCAUAAACUAUGCCGACUAGGGAUCGGAUGAUGUUAAUUUUUUAAUGACUCAUUCGGCGCCUUACGGGAAAC